Molecule: long non-coding RNA, 866 nt
Organism: Rhododendron vialii
Lineage: Eukaryota; Viridiplantae; Streptophyta; Magnoliopsida; Ericales; Ericaceae
Exons: 4
Source: RefSeq, a predicted model, not a curated record
CAAACCACCAUCUGCGAAACGAGCACAGAGACGGAGUGAGGAGGACGACCACCGGCAACAUCCACCCCACCACUGGCGACUCCCACAAGCCUCACCCUCCACUUCCGGCGACCACCACCAGUUUCACCCUCCACUUCCGGCGACCACCACCAGCAAGAAAAAUCUCCUGGGCCCAACAACGACACCACCACCGGCGCCCUUUCCGACAACCAAGUAUGGAUUUCCUAUAUAUUCCGCAAAGGCCGUGCGAUUUCGAAUGUGAGAUCCCUGGUCUCCUAUUGGAAUAGGAAAUGAUUCAGGAGAUGAAUUUGACGCUGGUAAUGAGUCCACUGACAGCCCUUUCAUAUGGACAUAUACUUCACUAGAAUUCCCAAUGGCUCAGGAGAAUUGACUGCAAAAGUUCAAGCUUCCAAAACCUGUUCUUUGCAUAGGUGGAAUUGUGCAAGUAGAGCUGUUGGGUAGGGUGCAGAAAUAAGAAAUGGACAGUUUAUACUACAUAUGUUUACUGGAGCUACCACUUUAUUGCUCAUGCAUCAAAUGCGUCUUAUCAGCAUUGGCAGCAGAUGGGUGGAGUAAGCAUUGGAGAUCCAAUAGUUGUGGAACUGCUCGAGGGCAUGGAAUGCUAUAAGAUGGAAAGAGAAUUAGGUUUCCGCAACUCAAACAAAGAAGUAAAGAUGCUGAAUCAUUUGGUGGCAAAGAAGAGUAGAAUGAUUUGAUAGCAAAAAAAAUGGAGAUGUAAUUAGUAGGCCUAUUUGUCCUACAAUUGAAAUACUAGAAUGUAGUCUAUUUUUGUUUUGCAAAUGAGGUUUAAACCAUUAGAGAGGAGAAUGUAAUCUUAUUUAUUUGGAUGUAAAUGAUAAUUAGCA